Molecule: ribosomal RNA, 493 nt
Filed under: uncultured bacterium
Lineage: Bacteria
Description: partial 16S ribosomal RNA
Rfam family: Bacterial small subunit ribosomal RNA
Source: RNAcentral
ACGAACGCUGGCGGCGUGCUUAACACAUGCAAGUCGAACGGAAAGGCCUGCUUUCCCUUGUGGAUUGCGGGUACUCGAGUGGCGAACGGGUGAGUAACACGUGAGUGAUCUGCCCCCGACUUGGGUAUAAGCCUGGGACACUGGGUCUAAUUCCCCAUAGGACUCCAGGGUGGUGCCUGUGGUGGACAACGAUUUUCUAGUGGCUGGGGGUGAGCUGGCGGCGUAUCAGCUUGGUGGUGGGGUAAUGGCCUACCAGGGCGGCGGCCGGUAGCCGGCGUGAGAUGGUGGGCGGCAACAGUGGGACUGCGACACGGCGCAGACUACUACGCGAGGAAGCAGAGGGGAGGAAGGAGCGGGGGGUGGAAGCCUGAGGCAGCGACGCUGCGUGGGGGAUGACGGGUGUGGGGUUGUAACCUCCUGGUGGUCGAGAGGAAGCGCCUGGGUUGGAAGGGUGGUGACGGUAGUGGGAGAAGAAGCACCGGCUAACUACGUG